AGGGCCCGGGAGGGGCCUGGUCGCGCUUUUCUAACCCUAAAGCCGCAGGUUGUAGGCGCCGAGCUUUCGUGUCCCCGCGCGCUGUUUUUCUGGCUGGCUUUCAGCGGGCGGAAAAGCCUUGGCCUACAGCCGUCCACCUUCCAGUCCGUAGCCAAAUAAAAAAAUGCCAGCUUCCGGCCGGUCCACCCCUCCCGGGGUCCUGCGGGCCCGGCCGCCGGCCCGGUCCCCGCGCCUCGCCCUAGGCCGCGGUCGGCCCGGGGCCUCUUCGGAGGUGCCCAUUGCCGCCGCGAAGAGUUCGUCUCUGUCAGCCGCGGGGGUCCGCGCGGGCCGGGCCGCGGUCGGCCUCGCGUCCGCAGGGACAGUAACGGAGCCGUUCCCUUCGCUCGGUGCGCUUCCCGGAGCUGUGGGAUGAGCACCCGGGUCGGCUCCCACAAAC
Unclassified non-coding RNA from Dipodomys ordii (Ord's kangaroo rat), 436 nucleotides. Its record names the gene Telomerase-vert. It matches the Rfam family "Vertebrate telomerase RNA". Rfam says of the family: Telomerase is a ribonucleoprotein reverse transcriptase that synthesises telomeric DNA. Telomerase RNAs differ greatly in sequence and structure between vertebrates, ciliates and yeasts, but they share a 5' pseudoknot structure close to the template sequence. Lineage: Eukaryota; Metazoa; Chordata; Mammalia; Rodentia; Heteromyidae. The record is from Ensembl.